RNAcentral lists this transfer RNA (48 nucleotides) under Crotalus ravus (Mexican pygmy rattlesnake). Its description in RNAcentral is "partial tRNA-His". The record is from RNAcentral. Lineage: Eukaryota; Metazoa; Chordata; Lepidosauria; Squamata; Viperidae.
GUGUACGUAAUUUAAAAAAAAUAUCAAGUUGUGACCUUGAAAAUAGAU